This 301-nucleotide ribosomal RNA is filed under the name uncultured bacterium. RNAcentral's name for it is "partial 16S ribosomal RNA". It matches the Rfam family "Bacterial small subunit ribosomal RNA", at positions 509 to 807 of the family's 1533-position model. The record is from RNAcentral.
CAGUAGCCGCGGUAAUACGUAGGGUCCGAGCGUUGUCCGGAAUUAUUGGGCGUAAAGGGCUCGUAGGCGGUUUGUUGCGUCGGGAGUGAAAACCCAGGGCUUAACUUUGGGCUUGCUUUCGAUACGGGCAGACUUGAGGCAUUGAGGGGAGAACGGAAUUCCUGGUGUAGCGGUGAAAUGCGCAGAUAUCAGGAGGAACACCGGUGGCGAAGGCGGUUCUCUGGCAAUGUUCUGACGCUGAGGAGCGAAAGUGUGGGGAGCGAACAGGAUUAGAUACCCCAGUAGUCCCUGUCUCUUAUAC